This 360-nucleotide long non-coding RNA is filed under the name Rosa chinensis. RNAcentral's name for it is "sRNA RchiOBHm_Chr2g0135041". The record is from RNAcentral. Lineage: Eukaryota; Viridiplantae; Streptophyta; Magnoliopsida; Rosales; Rosaceae.
CUCUGCGAAAUUUGAGGAUUAUAUGUUGCCCAAUUCUUAGGCAAAGUUGCUGAAAAAGAGGAAACAAGGAGUGGCUCAACAUUUCUCACAUCCCAAACAUCCAAAUUGAUAAUGAGUUUGUACAGAGAGAUGGAGUUUGGAUCCUACAAGAAGCUGGCGAAACUGCCCUUAAGUACUUCAUCAUCAACUCAUACAUCUUGAUCUUCUUUCUGUACUUGCUACAUGUUUGCUGUGAGAGGCAAACCAGACAUGGAACAACAACAUCAUCAUCAUCAGCACCAUCUUUAGCAAGCAAAGUACAAGCUCGCAAACAGAAAAACGACUGAACCUAAAUAGCCAGUUUAUGUAACUAUAACUUUU